Vidua chalybeata is the source of this 432-nucleotide long non-coding RNA. RefSeq lists it as uncharacterized. The record is from RefSeq and is a predicted model, not a curated record. The transcript has 4 exons. NCBI's taxonomy places the organism in Eukaryota, Metazoa, Chordata, Aves, Passeriformes, Viduidae.
AGCAGCAGAAUCUCAGCACUGACAUGGACUAUAUAUUAGUGCUCACAGGAUCUUUCUGGGUAACCUUGAUAUGCAGGCUCCCAGAAGUCUCAGAGAAGAGUCUUAGGCACCGAAUUCUGGAGGAGAGAGGACCUUUACACUGACCCACUAUAGCUAUUCCUGUCUGCAAUUCUGGCAGAGAAUGUGGCCACUGGAUCCUAGUGUUCCACUCAUGUGGCAGUGGCUUAUCAUCAUGGCAUGUGCAGUGCUCUGUCCCAGGCCUGCAGGCACAGAGGCUGGCAGUCACUUGCCCAGCCACAGCCACCCCAGUUGUGAUGCCCUCAGGCUCUGUUCCUGGUCUGCUGCUGUCCUUCCAAAAAAAGGACUGUUCAGACAAUGGCAAGACAAAGCCUUUAAACUUCAAGGAGGAAGACUUCUACCUUCUUAGAUGGC